This 403-nucleotide ribosomal RNA is filed under the name uncultured bacterium. Its description in RNAcentral is "partial 16S ribosomal RNA". It matches the Rfam family "Bacterial small subunit ribosomal RNA", at positions 29 to 526 of the family's 1533-position model. The record is from RNAcentral.
AUUGAACGCUGGCGGCAGGCCUAACACAUGCAAGUCGAGCGAGCGGCGGACGGGUGAGUAAUGUAUGGGGACUGCCCGAUAGAGGGGGAUAACUACUGGAAACGGUGGCUAAUACCGCAUACUAUCGGAUAACCCAUAUGGGAUUAGCUAGUAGUUGGGGUAAAGGCUCACAUCGGCGACGAUCGCUAGCUGGUCUAAGAGGAUGAUCAGCGACACUGGGACGGAGAAACGGCCCAUACUCCUACGGAGGCAGCAGUGGGGAAUAUUGCACAAUGGGCGCAAGCGGGAUGCAGCCAUGCCGGGUGUAUGAAGAAGGCCUUAGGGUUGUAAAGUACGUGCAGCGGGGAGGCGUUACGCGGAGAAGAAGCACCGGCUAACUCCGUGCCAGCAGCCGCGGUAAUUC